RNAcentral lists this ribosomal RNA (253 nucleotides) under uncultured bacterium. RNAcentral describes it as "partial 16S ribosomal RNA". It matches the Rfam family "Bacterial small subunit ribosomal RNA", at positions 524 to 776 of the family's 1533-position model. The record is from RNAcentral.
UACAGAGGAUGCAAGCGUUAUCCGGAAUGAUUGGGCGUAAAGCGUCUGUAGGUGGCUUUUUAAGUCCGCCGUCAAAUCCCAGGGCUCAACUCUGGACAGGCGGUGGAAACUACCAAGCUGGAGUACGGUAGGGGCAGAGGGAAUUUCCGGUGGAGCGGUGAAAUGCUUAGAUAUUGGAAAGAACACCAACAGCGAAGGCACUUUACUGGGCCAGUACUGACACUCAGAGACGAAAGCUAGGGGAGCAAACGGG